RNAcentral lists this ribosomal RNA (252 nucleotides) under uncultured bacterium. RNAcentral's name for it is "partial 16S ribosomal RNA". It matches the Rfam family "Bacterial small subunit ribosomal RNA", at positions 524 to 776 of the family's 1533-position model. The record is from RNAcentral.
UACGUAGGGUGCAAGCGUUAAUCGGAAUUACUGGGCGUAAAGCGUGCGCAGGCGGUUCGCUAAGACAGAUGUGAAAUCCCCGGGCUUAACCUGGGAACUGCAUUUGUGACUGGCGGCUAGAGUAUGGCAGAGGGGGUAGGAAUUCCACGUGUAGCAGUGAAAUGCGUAGAGAUGUGGAGGAAUACCGAUGGCGAAGGCAGCCCCCUGGGCCAAUACUGACGCUCAUGCACGAAAGCGUGGGGAGCAAACAGG